GGUCAAGUUAUUAAGGGUGCAGGGCGGAUGCCUUGGCACUAGGAGCCGAUGAAGGACGUGAUAAGCUGCGAUAAGCUUCGGGGAGUUGCACGUAAACUUUGAUCCGAAGAUUUCCGAAUGAGGAAACUCACUUAGAGUAAUGUCUAAGUAUCAUUAAGUGAAUACAUAGCUUAAUGAGGGGAACUCAGGGAACUGAAACAUCUAAGUACCUGAAGGAAGAGAAAGAAAUUCGAUUCCGUAAGUAGCGGCGAGCGAACGCGGAUUAGCCCAAACCAAUAAAGUUUUCUUUAUUGGGGUUGCGGACAUAUCAUAACGAAGAGGUAUCGUAAUUGAAGAGGUUUGGAAAGACCCACCACAGAAGGUAAUAGUCCUGUAUGUUAAACGAGAAGACUUUAGAUAUGAUCCAGAGUACCACGGGACACGUGAAACCCUGUGGGAAGCAGGAGGGACCACCCUCCAAGGCUAAAUACUACCUAGUGACCGAUAGCGUAUAGUACCGUGAGGGAAAGGUGAAAAGAACCCCGGGAGGGGAGUGAAAUAGAACCUGAAACCCUGCACUUACAAGCUGUGGAAGCACAUUUCUUGUGUGACCGCGUACUUUUUGUAGAACGGGCCAACGAGUUACGUUAAGUAGCAAGGUUAAGCACUUAAGGUGCGGAGCCGUAGCGAAAGCGAGUUUUAACUGAGCGUUCAGUUACUUGACGUAGACCCGAAACCGGGCGACCUACCCAUGAGCAGGAUGAAGCGAAAGUAAAAUUUCGUGGAGGUCCGAACCCACGAGCGUUGAAAAGCUCGGGGAUGACUUGUGGGUAGCGGUGAAAUUCCAAUCGAGCCCGGAGAUAGCUGGUUCUCCCCGAAAUAGCUUUAGGGCUAGCCUCAAGGUGAGAGAUACGGAGGUAGAGCACUGAAUGUCCUAGGGGGUAUUGCACCUACCGAAGACUAUCAAACUCCGAAUGCCGUCAUCUUAUACUUGGGAGUCAGACUGUGGGUGAUAAGAUUCAUAGUCGAAAGGGCAACAGCCCAGAUCGUCAGCUAAGGUCCCUAAAUGUAAGUUAAGUGGUAAAGGAUGUGGGAUUGCACAGACAACCAGGAUGUUGGCUUAGAAGCAGCCACUCAUUCAAAGAGUGCGUAAUAGCUCACUGGUCGAGUGAUCCUGCGCCGAAGAUUUCCGGGGCUAAAACUUACUACCGAAGCUACGGCAUCAGUAAUGAUGGGUAGGGGAGCUUCCCAUACGGGUUGAAGCAUGACCGUAAGGACAUGUGGACAGUAUGGGAGUGAGAAUGUUGGCAUGAGUAGCGAGAUGUGGGUGAGAAUCCCACAGGCCGUAAACCCAAGGUUUCCAGGGGAAGGUUCGUCCGCCCUGGGUUAGUCGGGACCUAAGCUGAGGCCGAAAGGCGUAGGUGAUGGACAACAGGUUGAUAUUCCUGUACUACCGAUAACCGUUUGAGAGAAGGGAUGACACAGUAGGAUAAGCUAAGCACACUGUUGGUUAUGUGUGCCCAAGCAUUGAGGCAGUCAAAGUAGGCAAAUCCGCUUUGAUAAUGCUGGGAUGUGAUGGGGAGCGAAAUUUAGUAGCGAAGUAGCUGAUUUCACACUGUCAAGAAAAGUCUCUAUCGAGGUUAAAGGUACCCGUACCGCAAACCGACACAGGUGGGUGAGGAGAGUAUCCUAAGGCCAGCGAGAGAACUGUUGUUAAGGAACUCGGCAAAAUGACCCCGUAACUUAGGGAUAAGGGGUGCCACCAUCAGGUGGCCGCAGAGAAUAGGCCCAAGCGACUGUUUACCAAAAACAUAGGUUUCUGCUAAGUCGCAAGACGAUGUAUAGGAGCUGACGCCUGCCCGGUGCUGGAAGGUUAAGGGGAUCUGUUAGAGCAAUCGAAGCAGUGAACUUAAGCCCCAGUAAACGGCGGCCGUAACUAUAACGGUCCUAAGGUAGCGAAAUUCCUUGUCGGGUAAGUUCCGACCCGCACGAAAGGCGUAACGAUUUGGGCGGAUACCUGCGACAGGACGGAAAGACCCCAUGGAGCUUUACUGUAGCUUGACAUUGGGUCUUGGUACUACAUGUACAGGAUAGGUGGGAGGCUUUGAAACCAGGACGCCAGUUUUGGCGGAGCCAUCCUUGGGAUACCACCCUUGUAGUACUGGGACUCUAACCAUAGGCCAUGAAUCUGGUCUUGGGACACUGUCAGGUGGGCAGUUUGACUGGGGCGGUCGCCUCCCAAAAGGUAACGGAGGCGCUCAAAGGUUCUCUCAGUACGGUCGGAAAUCGUACGUAGAGUGUAAAGGCAAAAGAGAGCUUGAUUGCAAGACAUACAGGUCGAGCAAGGAUGAAAAUCGGACUUAGUGAUCCGGUGGUUCUGCGUGGAAGGGCCAUCGCUCAACGGAUAAAAGCUACCCUGGGGAUAACAGGCUUAUCUCCCCCAAGAGUCCACAUCGACGGGGAGGUUUGGCACCUCGAUGUGCUGUUCGCCCAUUAAAGUGGUACGCGAGCUGGGUUCAGAACGUCGUGAGACAGUUCGGUCCCUAUCCGUCGCAGGCGUAGGAAAUUUGAGAAGACCUGUCCUUAGUACGAGAGGACCGGGAUGGACGUACCUCUGGUGUACCAGUUGUCCUGCCAAGGGCAUGGCUGGGUAGCUAUGUACGGAAUGGAUAAGCGCUGAAAGCAUCUAAGCGCGAAGCCAACUUCAAGAUAAGAUUUCCCACCGCAAGGGUAAGACCCCAGAAAGACUAUCUGGUUGAUAGGUCGAAGGUGUAAGUGCAGCAAUGUAUUUAGCUUAUCGAUACUAAUAGGUCGAGGACUUGACCAA
RNAcentral lists this ribosomal RNA (2806 nucleotides) under Veillonella parvula. RNAcentral describes it as "23S ribosomal RNA". It matches the Rfam family "Bacterial large subunit ribosomal RNA". The record is from RNAcentral. Lineage: Bacteria; Bacillati; Bacillota; Negativicutes; Veillonellales; Veillonellaceae.